UUGGACCUACGGGGGGCAGCAGUGGGGGAUAUUGCACAAUGGGGGAAACCCUGAUGCAGCGACGCCGCGUGAAGGAAGAAGUAUCUCGGUAUGUAAACUUCUAUCAGCAGGGAAGAAAAUGACGGUACCUGACCAAGAAGCCCCGGCUAACUACGUGCCAGCAGCCGCGGUAAUACGUAGGGGGCAAGCGUUAUCCGGAUUUACUGGGUGUAAAGGGAGCGUAGGCGGCGAAGCAAGUCAGAAGUGAAAGCCCGGGGCUCAACUCGGGAACUGCUUUUGAAACUGCGUUGCUAGAUUGCGGGAGG
Molecule: ribosomal RNA, 305 nt
Filed under: uncultured bacterium
Lineage: Bacteria
Description: bacterial SSU rRNA
Rfam family: Bacterial small subunit ribosomal RNA
Source: RNAcentral